This 604-nucleotide ribosomal RNA is filed under the name Cautires sp. UPOL VK0203. RNAcentral describes it as "partial 16S ribosomal RNA". It matches the Rfam family "Bacterial large subunit ribosomal RNA", at positions 1816 to 2715 of the family's 2925-position model. The record is from RNAcentral. Lineage: Eukaryota; Metazoa; Arthropoda; Insecta; Coleoptera; Lycidae.
CAUGUCCUUUUGUGAUUAAUUUAAGGUCUGACCUGCUCAAUGAAGUUUAAAUAGCCGCAGUAUUUUGACUGUGCAAAGGUAGCAUAAUAAUUAGUUUCUUAAUUAGAAACUGGAAUGAAUGGUUGGACAAGAGAAUUACUGUCUCUUAUUUAGUAUUUUUGAAUUUUAUUUUUAAGUGAAAAAGCUUAAAUUUUUAUAAAAGACGAGAAGACCCUAUAGAGUUUAAUAUUUGUUUAAAAUAAUAUUUUAGAAUUAUAAUUUUUAACUCAAGUAUUUGGUUGGGGUGACUGAGAGAAAAAUAUAAUUCUUUUAAUAUUUAAUUGAUAAUUUUCAAUUUUUUAAUCUAUAAUUUAUAAAAUUAAAAUAAAUUACCUUAGGGAUAACAGCGUAAUUUUUCUUUAAAGUUCUUAUUAAAAGGAAAGUUUGCGACCUCGAUGUUGGAUUAAAAUUAAUUUUUGGUGCAGUAACUUAAAAAUUGGGUCUGUUCGACCUUUAAAAUUUUACAUGAUCUGAGUUUAAACCGGUGUGAGCCAGGUUGGAUUCUAUCUUUAGAAAAAUUUUAUAUUUUAGUACGAAAGGACCAAAUAUAGAUUAAAUUAAUUGU